RNAcentral lists this ribosomal RNA (607 nucleotides) under uncultured bacterium. RNAcentral describes it as "bacterial SSU rRNA". The stretch from base 1 to 521 matches the Rfam family "Bacterial small subunit ribosomal RNA", at positions 338 to 873 of the family's 1533-position model. The record is from RNAcentral.
CCUACGGGAGGCAGCAGUAAGGAAUCUUCCACAAUGGGACGAAAGUCUGAUGGAGCAACGCCGCGUGCAGGAUGAAGGCUUUCGGGUCGUAAACUGCUUUUAUAUGGGAAGAUUAUGACGGUACCAUAUGAAUAAGGACCGGCUAACUACGUGCCAGCAGCCGCGGUAAUACGUAGGGUCCAAGCGAUAUCCGGAAUUACUGGGCGUAAAGCGUGUGUAGGUGGAUUAAUAAGUGUGAUGCGAAAUCCGGCGGCUCAACCGUUUGGACUGUGUCGCAUACUGUUAGUCUAGAGGACGGCAGAGGUAAGUGGAAUUACGGGUGUAGCAGUGAAAUGCGUAGAUAUCCGUAGGAACACCAAUGGCGAAGGCAGCUUACUGGGCCACACCUGACACUGAGACACGAAAGCGUGGGGAGCGAACAGGAUUAGAUACCCUGGUAGUCCACGCCGUAAACGAUGCAUACUAUUAGUAUGGGGUAUCGACCCCCUGUGCUGAGAAGCUAACGCGAUAAGUAUGCCGCCUGGGGAGGAGAGCGCGAGAACGUAAACGUACGUUAAAGAAGUAGUUAGGCGUGAGACGNGCCGACGGACGACGACGAGGGAGGAGG